This is a long non-coding RNA of Suricata suricatta (meerkat), 809 nucleotides long. RefSeq lists it as uncharacterized. The transcript is spliced from 2 exons. The record is from RefSeq and is a predicted model, not a curated record. NCBI's taxonomy places the organism in Eukaryota, Metazoa, Chordata, Mammalia, Carnivora, Herpestidae.
CCCACCCGGAUAGACAUUAUCUCUUUACCCCUAGCUUCCUCCUCUAUGAAGAAUGGAAGAGCUGGAGGAGGGCCAGAGAGAAUCCCUUUAAGGAGAGCACCGCCAAAAACUUGGUGCUAUUUAUUCUAAUAAUUUAUUAGAAAACAAUUAGGGACAGAACUAAUUAUAUUUCAUGAGGGUUUGAUACUGGGUUCGAAAGCAAUGUAUCUUUUAUACUUUGGGUAACGUGGUGCUUGAUUUAUAUGCUUUUUUCCCUCUACCACCCGGAUAAUAAGCCCAAGAAAUUUUUGAUGGAUUAUUAUCAACUUUGUUUAAAGCCUACUGUGAAUGACACUAUGAACAAACAAUGAAGAUUAAUAUGUCACAAAAUUGGGAUAAAUGAACAAUUCAACAUAAAUGAGACAUCCAUGAUGCUGUUGGUGCCACUGCUGAGACGCUGCUCUCCUCCUACGCAAAAUUUCUGAAAAUUAUACUGGGUAAGACUAAUGUGAACUCAACGAACAACCAGACUGAAAGCCACUCCAGUGAUCUCGCUGCUCACUUGUUGCCUGGAAGAAAAACCUUAAGAGAGAAUCCCUACUUAUGUAAGAAACACAGCGUCAUCAAUGCUCCUGAUGGCACAAAAGAUGGUGUCCCUAGCGAAGUGUCAGAAUCACCUAUCAGAAGGUGAUUCUGAAGAGAUGGUCUUUGUCCGUGCAUUUCAGAAAUGCUUGAUCUACAUCAGGUAUAUCUUCUUUUCAUUGUUACAAGAAACAAAAGACUACAUUUGAUGUAUAUCAAAUAAAGAAAACAUAUAACUAGUAACAGAA